UGGCCCCAGCCUUCCCCAAGCCGCCUUCGCGCCGCUGGCCGGGUCGACGCAGCCUUCCAUCGCGUAGCGGCCUCUCCUUGAAGAUGUCGGAGCAGUCGCCGCAGGGCCCCGUGCGGGCCGUGAGGCUCUCGGAUGAGGCGGGACCGAGGGACACACAAGCACUGCUGUCUGCAACACAGGCCAUGGAGCUGCAGAGGCGAGACUACCACGUGGAGAGGCCGCUGCUGAACCAGCAGCAGCUGGAGGAGCUGGGGCGCUGGGGCCCAGCGCCCAGGACCCACCAGUGGCGAACCUGGUUGCAAUGCUCCCGUGCUCGGGCCUAUGCCCUCCUGCUCCGGCACUUCCCCAUCCUGGCCUGGCUACCCCGCUAUCCUGUGCGUGACUGGCUCCUGGGUGACGUGUUAUCUGGCCUGAGCGUGGCCAUCAUGCAGCUCCCACAAGGCUUGGCCUACGCGCUCCUGGCUGGAUUGCCUCCUGUGUUCGGCCUCUACAGCUCCUUCUACCCUGUCUUCAUCUACUUCCUGUUUGGCACUUCCCGGCACAUCUCCGUGGGGACCUUUGCUAUCAUGUCCGUGAUGGUGGGCAGUGUGACAGAAUCCCUGGCCCCGGAUGAGGACUUCAUGGACAUCGCAAAUUCCACAGUCAACGAGACUGCCAGGGACACCUACCGGGUGCAGCUGGCUUCCACGCUCAGUGUCCUGGUUGGCCUCUUCCAGGUGGGGCUGGGCCUGGUGCACUUCGGCUUCGUGGUCACCUACCUGUCAGAGCCUCUGGUGCGCAGCUACACCACGGCUGCGUCCGUGCAGGUCUUCAUCUCGCAGCUCAAGUACGUGUUUGGCCUGCAGCUGAGCAGCCGUUCUGGGCCACUCUCCCUCAUCUAUACAGUUCUGGAGGUCUGCUGGAAGCUGCCGCAGACCGUGGUCGGCACCCUGGUCACCGCGCUCGUGGCGGGGGUGGUGCUCGUGGCCGUGAAGCUGCUCAGUGAGAAGCUGCGACGCUACCUCCCGCUGCCCAUACCCGGGGAGCUGCUCACGCUCAUCGGGGCCACGGCCAUCUCCUAUGGUGUGGGCCUACAGCAGCGGUUCGGGGUGGAUGUUGUGGGCAACAUCCCAGCAGGGCUGGUCCCUCCAGUGGCCCCCAACCCACAGCUCUUUGCAAAGCUUGUGGGAAACGCCUUUGCCAUCGCUGUGGUGGGGUUCGCCAUCGCCAUCUCGCUGGGGAAGAUCUUCGCCCUGAGGCACGGCUACCGCGUGGACAGCAACCAGGAGCUGGUGGCCCUGGGCCUCAGUAACCUCAUUGGGGGCAUCUUCCAGUGCUUCCCCGUGAGUUGCUCCAUGUCUCGCAGCCUGGUGCAGGAGAGCACUGGGGGCAACACGCAGAUCGCUGGAGCCAUCUCUUCCCUCUUCCUCCUCCUCAUUAUUCUCAAACUCGGGGAGCUCUUCCGAGACCUGCCCAAGGCAGUCCUGGCCGCUGCCAUCAUCGUGAACUUGAAGGGCAUGCUGAUGCAGUUCAAGGACAUCCCCUCCCUCUGGAAGGCAAACCAGAUGGAUCUGCUCAUCUGGCUGGUGACCUUCGUGGCCACCAUCCUGCUGAACCUGGACCUCGGCCUGGCUGUUGCCAUCGUCUUCUCACUGCUGCUCACAGUAGUCCGAACGCAGCUACCCCGCUACUCUGUCCUGGGCCAGGUGACAGACACGGAUAUUUACCGAGACCUGGCCGAGUAUGCAGAGGCCAGGGAGGUCCCCGGCGUGAAGGUCUUCCGCUCCUCGGCCACCCUGUUCUUUGCCAACGCUGAGUUCUACAGUGACGCGCUCAAACAGCGGUGCGGGGUAGACGUCGACUACCUCCUGUCCCGGAAGAAGAAGCUGAUGAAGAAGCGGGAGCUCCAGCAAAAGCGGCUGAAGAAAAACAAGCGGCCCCGGACCCAGGCUGCUCCGUCCAAGGACACCUCUGUUUCCGUCAAUGUCAACGCCAGCCCGGAAGACAUCAAGAGCAAUGAUGUGGAUGACUCCAGGGCCAAGGUAAACCCAGCAGCUGAACUGGAGGAUGCAGUGGCCAGCAACCAAGAAGACGCCAAGGCCCCAAAUGGGUCCACGCUGAAGGCCCUGGGCCUGCCCCAGCCGGACUUCCACAGUCUUGUCUUGGACCUGAGUACCCUCUCCUUCGUGGACACUGUGUGCAUCAAGAGCCUGAAAAAUAUCUUCCGUGACUUCCGGGAGAUCGAGGUGGAGGUGUACAUCGCAGCCUGCCACAGCCCUGUCGUCGCCCAGCUGGAGGCCGGGCACUUCUUUGAUGGAUCCAUCACCAAGCAGCAUCUCUUCGUCUCUGUCCACGACGCCGUCACCUUUGCCCUCCAGCACCCGAGGUCUGAUCCCAGCAGACCUGUUUUGGCCACCAAACUCUGACCACGCUGCCACCCUGCCUGAGACUGCCUACCUCCAGAGGCUGUAACAGGGCUCCAGAGUGGAGACUGGGGUCCCAAGCUGGAGCACGAUUCGGGACAGCAGGGUAAGACGGAGAGCAGAGAGGGGAGCGGGGGGCCGGGGGCGCGUCUCGCGCUCACGCUUCUCCCAUGCCGCGCACAGCUGUCAGCUCCCCCAGCAGAGCUGCUUCUAGGGAUCAGUUCCAUUCUGGGGGAUACCUCAGCUGGACAGGAUGGCCGCCACCAGGUGGCCCCAGGAGAGGCCAGUGAACCCCUUAGCAGAGGAAGCACGACUGUCCUGGGUGCUGCCAGUCUGUAUUCCGAAACGAGAAUAAACAUCACAGGCUUCCUGGGUGCC
This is an RNA transcript of Oryctolagus cuniculus (rabbit), 2780 nucleotides long. It is a transcript of the gene named solute carrier family 26 member 6, with no coding region annotated. The record is from RefSeq and is a predicted model, not a curated record. NCBI's taxonomy places the organism in Eukaryota, Metazoa, Chordata, Mammalia, Lagomorpha, Leporidae.